Long non-coding RNA from Drosophila ananassae, 748 nucleotides. RefSeq lists it as uncharacterized. NCBI's taxonomy places the organism in Eukaryota, Metazoa, Arthropoda, Insecta, Diptera, Drosophilidae. The record is from RefSeq and is a predicted model, not a curated record. The transcript has 7 exons.
UGGAUUUCAGUUUCGUUCUGGCCUCAGUCGUGUGUAAGUCUAAUUAAAAAUAUUUAAUCUGGUGUUCAGCGAAUUUUUGUGAUGGUUUUAUAUUUAUUUAAAUAUCUUCUAUAAUACUUAUAUAAAGAGAAAAUUCAUCGAUCUAGUUUUCUUUUUCCUGCGGUGUCAUCACCUAAGAAACUUCCAAUAUCUUAAUUUUUUCUUCUACCCUUAUGAGAUCUGAUACUUUUGAGUUCUGAUACAAUUUUGAGUUCUAUUAUAGAACAAGUUCCUUUUUAAUUCCGUUGCUGUUUUCAAGAAUCGGAGAUAGCCUUGCUGUUUCUUAUUUUUAUUUUAUUUUUCUUACAUACAAUGGGUUCUUUGUAGUCCUCCAAAUUCAAAGACCUUCGGUUUCGUUCUCGUUCUCUUAUUUUUUCUUAUGUUAUAAUGGUUAAGGUUUUCCUCAAGCUCAAAUGUUCCUGCGCUUCUCUUCCUGCUGUUCUUAGUCCACUUCUCCACUUUUCGGGUGUCAGCUUGCGGUGCUAUGGCUUCUUCAUGUUUCCCCAUGUUACAGCUCUCGCCUUUCUUCUAUUUUUUGGAAUUUCAUAAAUGGCUCCUUGACGGGUUCUUGGGCUCUGUUAUAAUUGUGUAUUAACUGCCUUUUUUUAUAAUUAAUAAUUUAUAAAUAUUCAAAGAUUUCGAUAUGGACAUUUUAAUUUGAAAAAAUACAAUAAACCUCUUUUUUUAAAUUAAGGAAAUAAAGAGAACG